GCACCUGCAAAAUCAGGUGCCGGGAUUGGUCUCCUGAUAUACUUUGUUGGCGACAUAUGACGCGCCUGCGUCUUUUUU
RNAcentral lists this small RNA (78 nucleotides) under Brenneria goodwinii. RNAcentral describes it as "isrK Hfq binding RNA". It matches the Rfam family "isrK Hfq binding RNA". Lineage: Bacteria; Pseudomonadati; Pseudomonadota; Gammaproteobacteria; Enterobacterales; Pectobacteriaceae. The record is from Rfam by way of RNAcentral.